This is a non-coding RNA of Cinara cedri, 316 nucleotides long. The record is from the annotation of a GenBank genome assembly. Lineage: Eukaryota; Metazoa; Arthropoda; Insecta; Hemiptera; Aphididae.
GAUUUCGGUAGUUUGCGAAAAAUUGUGUUUUCGUUAUCACUUGGUUGAUACCACACUUUAAUUAUAAUUAAUCACUUUAGUAACGAGUAUGCUCUUCGAUCACACUUGAAUACAUUAUAUAUUCCAUCCAUGUAUAUAUUAUCUAAGAAUGUAAAUAAGUACCAAGGUGAUUUUACAAAAUAUAAAGGUGAAUUGAUAAAUACACCUUGGUAAGAAUGCUAAGACAAUCGUGAACUACGAUUUAAGAUAGUUUAUUAUUAUUUAUUAAAAAAAUACUACUUUGAUAAUGUUAUCACUAUCAAAUACGCUGCAUAAA